Molecule: ribosomal RNA, 381 nt
Filed under: uncultured Gammaproteobacteria bacterium
Lineage: Bacteria; Pseudomonadati; Pseudomonadota; Gammaproteobacteria
Description: bacterial SSU rRNA
Rfam family: Bacterial small subunit ribosomal RNA
Source: RNAcentral
AUUGAACGCUGGCGGCAGGCCUAACACAUGCAAGUCGAGCGGUAGCAUUUCCAGCUUGCUGGAAGAUGACGAGUGGCGGACGGGUGAGUAAUGCUUGGGAACUUGCCUUUGCGAGGGGGAUAACAGUUGGAAACGACUGCUAAUACCGCAUAAUGUCUUCGGACCAAACGGGCUUCGGCUCCGGCGCAGAGAGAGGCCCAAGUGAGAUUAGCUAGUUGGUAAGGUAAAGGCUUACCAAGGCGACGAUCUCUAGCUGUUCUGAGAGGAAGAUCAGCCACACUGGGACUGAGACACGGCCCAGACUCCUACGGGAGGCAGCAGUGGGGAAUAUUGCACAAUGGGGGAAACCCUGAUGCAGCCAUGCCGCGUGUGUGAAGAAGG